GACAGAGGAUGCAAGCGUUAUCCGGAAUGAUUGGGCGUAAAGCGUCUGUAGGUGGCUUUUUAAGUCUGCCGUCAAAUCCCAGGGCUUAACCCUGGACAGGCGGUGGAAACUACCAAGCUGGAGUACGGUAGGGGCAGGGGGAAUUUCCGGUGGAGCGGUGAAAUGCGUAGAGAUCGGAAAGAACACCAACGGCGAAAGCACUCUGCUGGGCCGACACUGACACUGGGAGACGAAAGCUAGGGGAGCGAAUGGG
Molecule: ribosomal RNA, 253 nt
Filed under: uncultured bacterium
Lineage: Bacteria
Description: partial 16S ribosomal RNA
Rfam family: Bacterial small subunit ribosomal RNA
Source: RNAcentral